RNAcentral lists this small RNA (580 nucleotides) under Pan troglodytes (chimpanzee). RNAcentral's name for it is "retained intron". Lineage: Eukaryota; Metazoa; Chordata; Mammalia; Primates; Hominidae. The record is from RNAcentral.
UUAGGCCACAGUGUCUUGUUAUGACAGGUGCUCCAAACUCACGUCCAGCUUUACUUCAUCUUGUUCAUGAUUUCACAAAAAAUGUUGGUUUGAUGAUCUGUGGCCAUGUACAUAUGGGUCCUCGAAGACAAGCCAUGAAAGAGAUGUCCAUCGAUCAAGCCAAAUAUCAGCGAUGGCUUAUUAAGAACAAAAUGAAGGCAUUUUAUGCUCCAGUACAUGCAGAUGACUUGAGAGAAGGUGCACAGUAUUUGAUGCAGGCUGCUGGUCUUGGUCGUAUGAAGCCAAACACACUUGUCCUUGGAUUUAAGAAAGAUUGGUUGCAAGCAGAUAUGAGGGAUGUGGAUAUGUAUAUAAACUUAUUUCAUGAUGCUUUUGACAUACAAUAUGGAGUAGUGGUUAUUCGCCUAAAAGAAGGUCUGGAUAUAUCUCAUCUUCAAGGACAAGGUAAAUUUUGUUGGCAAUAAGUUUUUUAUUUAAAAAAAUAUAAACUACUUUGUUAGAAAAUUAUAUUCUCACAAACUGGGCUCUUCGUUACUUUUAAUAAUUAUGUAUUGUGGACUUAUUGUAUGGCAUUUUAAGA